GACGAACGCUGGCGGCGUGCCUAAUACAUGCAAGUCGAACGCUUUUUCUUUCACCGGAGCUUGCUCCACCGAAAGAAAAAGAGUGGCGAACGGGUGAGUAACACGUGGGUAACCUGCCCAUCAGAAGGGGAUAACACUUGGAAACAGGUGCUAAUACCGUAUAACACUAUUUUCCGCAUGGAAGAAAGUUGAAAGGCGCUUUUGCGUCACUGAUGGAUGGACCCGCGGUGCAUUAGCUAGUUGGUGAGGUAACGGCUCACCAAGGCAACGAUGCACAGCCGACCGGAGCGGGUGAUAGGCCACACUGGGACUGAGACACGGCACAGACUCCUACGGGAGGCAGCAGUAGGGAGUCUUCGGCAAUGGACGAAAGUCUGACCGAGCAACGCCGCGUGAGUGAAGAAGGUUUUCGGAUCGUAAAACUCUGUUGUUAGAGAAGAACAAGGAUGAGAGUAAAACGUUCAUCCCUUGACGGUAUCUAACCAGAAAGCCACGGCUAACUACGUGCCAGCCGCCGCCGUAA
RNAcentral lists this ribosomal RNA (523 nucleotides) under uncultured bacterium. RNAcentral's name for it is "partial 16S ribosomal RNA". It matches the Rfam family "Bacterial small subunit ribosomal RNA", at positions 28 to 523 of the family's 1533-position model. The record is from RNAcentral.